This 473-nucleotide ribosomal RNA is filed under the name uncultured bacterium. Its description in RNAcentral is "SSU rRNA". It matches the Rfam family "Bacterial small subunit ribosomal RNA", at positions 26 to 518 of the family's 1533-position model. The record is from RNAcentral.
AGGACGAACGCUGGCGGCGUGCUUAACACAUGCAAGUCGAGCGGAAAGGCCACUUCGGUGGUACUAGAGCGGCGAACGGGUGAGUAACACGUGAGUAAUCUGCCCUCCACUUUGGGAUAGCCACCGGAAACGGUGAUUAAUACCGGAUAUGACCUGAUGCCGCAUGGUGUUUGGUGGAAAGUUUUUCGGUGGGGGAUGUGCUCGCGGCCUAUCAGCUUGAUGGUGGGGUAAUGGCCUACCAUGGCUUCGACGGGUAGCCGGCCUGAGAGGGUGACCGGCCACACUGGGACUGAGACACGGCCCAGACUCCUACGGGAGGCAGCAGUGGGGAAUAUUGGACAAUGGGCGGAAGCCUGAUCCAGCAACGCCGCGUGAGGGAUGACUGCCUUCGGGUUGUAAACCUCUUUCGGUGGGACGAAGCGUGAGUGACGGUACCACUAAAGAGCACCGGCCAACUACGUGCCAGCAGCCGC